GAUGAACGCUGGUGGCGUGCCUAAUACAUGCAAGUCGAGCGAACAGACGAGGAGCUUGCUCCUCUGACGUUAGCGGCGGACGGGUGAGUAACACGUGGAUAACCUACCUAUAAGACUGGGAUAACUUCGGGAAACCGGAGCUAAUACCGGAUAAUAUAUUGAACCGCAUGGUUCAAUAGUGAAAGACGGUUUUGCUGUCACUUAUAGAUGGAUCCGCGCCGCAUUAGCUAGUUGGUAAGGUAACGGCUUACCAAGGCGACGAUGCGUAGCCGACCUGAGAGGGUGAUCGGCCACACUGGAACUGAGACACGGUCCAGAGUCCUACGGGAGGCAGCAGUAGGGAAUCUUCCGCAAUGGGCGAAAGCCUGACGGAGCAACGCCGCGUGAGUGAUGAAGGUCUUCGGAUCGUAAAACUCUGUUAUUAGGGAAGAACAAAUGUGUAAGUAACUAUGCACGUCUUGACGGUACCUAAUCAGAAAGCCACGGCUAACUACGUG
Molecule: ribosomal RNA, 497 nt
Filed under: uncultured bacterium
Lineage: Bacteria
Description: partial 16S ribosomal RNA
Rfam family: Bacterial small subunit ribosomal RNA
Source: RNAcentral